GAGUGACCACCGAGUGACCACUGAGUGACCACAGGGUGACCACUGAGUGACCACAGAGUGACCACAGAGUGACCACAGAGUGACCAAUGAGUGACCACUGAGUGACCACUGAGUGACCACAGAGUGACCACUGAGUGACCAAUGAGUGACCACUGAGUGACCACAGAGUGACCACUGAGUGACCACAGGGUGACCACUGAGUGACCACUGAGUGACCACAGGGUGACCACAGGGUGACCACAGAGUGACCACAGAGUGACCACAGAGUGACCACAGGGUGACGACAGAGUGACCACAGAGUGACCACUGAGUGACCACUGAGUGACCACUGAGUGACCACAGGGUGACCAAUGAGUGACCACAGGGUGACCACAGGGUGACCACAGAGUGACCACAGAGUGACCACAGGGUGACCACAGGGUGACCACUGAGUGACCACAGAGUGACCACUGAGUGACCACAGAGUGACCACAGAGUGACCACAGAGUGGCCACUGAGUGACCACCGAGUGACCACUGAGUGACCACUGAGUGACCACAGGGUGACCACUGAGUGACCACUGAGUGACCACUGAGUGACCAAUGAGUGACCAAUGAGUGACCACAGAGUGAGCACAGGGUGACCACUGAGUGACCACUGAGUGACCACAGGGUGACCACUGAGUGACCACUGAGUGACCACUGAGUGACCAAUGAGUGACCACAGGGUGACCACAGGAUGGUCAGGGGUCAGCAGGAGGUCAGGGGUCAGCAGAAGGUCCAUGGAUGGUCAGCAGGAGGGCCAUGGAUGGUCAGCAGGUGGUCAGCAGUGUCCAGCAGAUGUCCAUGGAUGUCCAGCAGGUGGUCAGUGGUGUCCAUGGUGGUCAGUGAUGGUCAGUGAUGGUCAGUGGUGUCCAUGGAUGGUCAGUGAUGGUCAGUGGUGUCCAUGGAUGGUCGGUGAUGGUCAGUGGUGUCCAUCUCUCAGUAGGCGUGGUUGGA
RNAcentral lists this long non-coding RNA (977 nucleotides) under Zonotrichia albicollis (white-throated sparrow). Its description in RNAcentral is "lncRNA (ENSZALG00000001017.1)". Lineage: Eukaryota; Metazoa; Chordata; Aves; Passeriformes; Passerellidae. The record is from RNAcentral.